CGGAAUUACUGGGGGUAAAGGGCUCGUAGGCGGCCAACUAAGUCAGACGUGAAAUCCCUCAGCUUAACUGGGGAACUGCGUCUGAUACUGGAUGGCUUGGAUCCGGAAGAGGGAUGCGGAAUUCCAGGUGUAGCGGUGAAAUGCGUAGAUAUCUGGAGGAACACCGGUGGCGAAGGCGGCAUCCUGGGCCGGUAUUGACGCUGAGGAGCGAAAGCCAGGGGAGCAAACGGG
Molecule: ribosomal RNA, 231 nt
Filed under: uncultured bacterium
Lineage: Bacteria
Description: partial 16S ribosomal RNA
Rfam family: Bacterial small subunit ribosomal RNA
Source: RNAcentral